Molecule: ribosomal RNA, 161 nt
Filed under: uncultured Campylobacter sp.
Lineage: Bacteria; Pseudomonadati; Campylobacterota; Epsilonproteobacteria; Campylobacterales; Campylobacteraceae
Description: partial 16S ribosomal RNA
Rfam family: Bacterial small subunit ribosomal RNA
Source: RNAcentral
AGGGGGAACCUGGACGCAGCAACGCCGCGUCGGAGGAUGACACUUUUCGGAGCGUAAACUCCUUUUCUUAGGGAAGAAUUCUGACGGUACCUAAGGAAUAAGCACCGGCUAACUCCGUGCCAGCAGCCGCGGUAAUAACGUGCCAGCAGCCGCGGUAAUAA